This 72-nucleotide transfer RNA is filed under the name Metamycoplasma auris. RNAcentral's name for it is "Mycoplasma auris tRNA-Met". It matches the Rfam family "tRNA". Rfam says of the family: Transfer RNA (tRNA) molecules are approximately 80 nucleotides in length. Their secondary structure includes four short double-helical elements and three loops (D, anti-codon, and T loops). Further hydrogen bonds mediate the characteristic L-shaped molecular structure. tRNAs have two regions of fundamental functional importance: the anti-codon, which is responsible for specific mRNA codon recognition, and the 3' end, to which the tRNAs corresponding amino acid is attached (by aminoacyl-tRNA synthetases). tRNAs cope with the degeneracy of the genetic code in two manners: having more than one tRNA (with a specific anti-codon) for a particular amino acid; and 'wobble' base-pairing, i.e. permitting non-standard base-pairing at the 3rd anti-codon position. The record is from RNAcentral. Lineage: Bacteria; Bacillati; Mycoplasmatota; Mycoplasmoidales; Metamycoplasmataceae.
CGCGGAGUAGAGCAGAGGCAGCUCGUUGGGCUCAUAACCCAAAGGACGUUGGUUCGAUUCCAACCUCCGCAA